Molecule: ribosomal RNA, 253 nt
Filed under: uncultured bacterium
Lineage: Bacteria
Description: partial 16S ribosomal RNA
Rfam family: Bacterial small subunit ribosomal RNA
Source: RNAcentral
UACGUAGGGGCCUAGCGUUGUCCGGAAUUACUGGGCGUAAAGCGUGCGCAGACGGUUGCGUAAGUCAGAUGUGAAAGCCCCGGGCUCAACCUGGGAAUUGCAUUUGAGACUGCGUAGCUAGGGUGCGGAAGAGGGAAGCGGAAUUUCCGGUGUAGCGGUGAAAUGCGUAGAUAUCGGAAGGAACACCAGUGGCGAAAGCGGCUUCCUGGUCCAGCACCGACGUUCAGGCACGAAAGCGUGGGGAGCAAACAGG